AAUUUAUGCACUGGUUUUGUAUUGUUUACUUCCCUUAAUAUCGAUGUUUUGCACUUAAUAAUAAUGAUUUACUUGUGUUUUACUUUUGUAGGUGCAAUUCUAUUGAUUUGUGAUAAAAUUGAGCUAUAAGAUGAUGUUUAAAGAUGAUUGUUCUCUUCGAGAAAUUAUGAGCGUCAGAAGAACUUUGUUGAUAAGGCGUGGGCGCGUGCUGUCAACUGCGGACCUGCAAUUUUUAGUUUAACGUGUUUUGUAGUUUUGGUUAUUUUUGUAAUUACGAAUUUAAUAUUUCAGAUAUUAGUAUUUUAUUUUAAAUAGAACUCUAGAGGAGAAGAGAGAGAGAGUAUUUAAGGGAGGAAUCUAUUGUGAAAAAAAGGGGAUUGGAGAAAAAGAAAGAAACCCUAGAUCUAAUUUUUCUCUUCUCUCUAUGAAGAACUAAACUUAUUUUUCUGGUUAAAGGUUAAUGAAGCUUUGAUUCAUCACUACUGUGAGAUCUUUCUUAUGCUUUAAUUGUUUUAUUACUCUUUGGGUAUUUGUUUAUUAUCUGAAUUAGUUUCAUGAUUAUGUUUGUUAAUUAAGUAAUUGGCCACUAUUUAAUUAUCAACUUAAUCUAUUGUCAAUUAAAUGAUUCAUCGUAUGAAGAUUUUAAUAUUUGUGACAAAUAACAUAGCAGUGAGUUGUGUUAUGAGAAUAAACAAUCUAAUUUAAAUGAAUUAUCAUAUGUGUUGAUUAAGAUUUGGGUCUCUUUGGUUUUUCAGGCUGUCAAUUGAUUAAAUCCUAUGAUCGUAUCUAGGGUUGUCUAUUGAUUAGGGAAAUAUCUAACGGUCGUACUUUGGUUAUCGACUAGUUAAGAAGAGAUUGGCUAUUAGAGGGUCUCAAUAGCUAUAACCGGUCUAUUCAUAAGUAAUAAUAAUCUAUAUUUGAAUCAAUAAUCAGUAGUCGAAUCAAGCUGAGUUAAUUCCUUCAACCAGAGCUUUCUCCAAUUUGAAUUACAACUUUAAUUUACAUUCUUAUUAUUUUAAUUUGAUUUUUAUUAUUGUCAACAAAACCCCCAUUUUAUCUUUUACAUUUUAAAAAGAUUUAAAUAAUUACCGAUCUCUGUGGACACGACCCUACUCAAUCACUAUACACAAUUUAUUUAGAGUAGGAAUUUAUUUUUGUUGGCUUCGACAACCAUCAAAUUUUGGCGCCGUUGCCGGGGAUUGAUGUCAUUUAUUUAAUCCUUUUUACGUUUUACUUGGUGUAUGGUUCGUUCUUCUCGUACAGGUACACUUUCGUUUGAUCCUGAAAUUGAGAAGACAGCUCGCCAGCUGAGAUAGCAGACGAAGCGAGCUAAGCAACGAUCCUCAUCGCCUUUGCUUUUUGAAACAGAUACAGUGCCUGAUUUAGUUGAAUCAUCUAGCGAUUCAGAAGAACAAGUGAUGGAUAGACCUGCACCUGUAGAAAGAACUCUUAGAGAGUUAGCUGAACCAGACUUGAAUCAACAACCACUCUGCAUUCAAUAUGUAGACUUGGAGGUAAAUUUUGAAUUAAAGUCUGGUCUUAUUCAUUUAUUGCCCAAGUUUCAUGGUUUUGCAGGUGAAGAUCCUCAUAAACAUCUUAAGGAGUUUCAUGUUGUGUGUUCAAGUAUGAGACCACAAGGCGUGACUGAAGAGCAGAUUAAGCUGCGUGCUUUUCCUUUCUCUUUAGAUGGACUAGCUAAAGACUGGUUGUACUACUUGCCUCCUGGAUCAAUUACAACGUGGAAUGGUUUGAAGAAGCAGUUCCUCAAGAAGUACUUUCAUGCUUCAAGAGCUGCUAACAUCAGAAAAGACAUUUGUGGGAUCAGACAACUUCCUGGGGAGACUUUGUAUGAGUAUUGAGAGCGAUUCAAACAAUUGUGUGCCAGCUGUCCUCAGCAUCAGAUUUCUGAUCAACUUCUUAUUCAAUAUUUUUACGAAGGACUGUCAUUGAUGGAUAGGAGCAUGAUAGAUGCUGCUAGUGGAGGCGUGUUGGUGAACAAGACCCCUACUCAAGCAAGGGAGCUGAUAUCAAAUAUGGCUGCCAACGCACAACAAUUUGGCAGCAGGCAAGAUCUCACUUCAAGGAAGGUGAAUGAGGUCAAUAUUUCUUCUGUUGAACAACGUUUAGAUAAACUUACUUCUCUUAUGGAAAAGUUUGUUGUAGGUCAUGUGCAACAGGUGAAGACUUGUGGCAUUUGUUACAAUAUGGGUCAUUCAACUGAUAUGUGUCUUACACUUCAAGAAGAACUCGUUGAACAAGUCAAUGUAGUUGGAGGAUUUCCAGGCAUGCCUCAGAGGAGGUAUGAUCCUUAUGCACAAACAUACAAUCCGGGAUGGAAGGAUCAUCCCAACUUCAGCUAUGGAGUUAGGCCGUCAGGAUUCCCACAACAGUAUCCACCAAGACAACCAGCACCUCCACAGUCAAACUCCAAGUCAGGUAUAUCUCUUGAAGAAAUUGUUAAAUCACUUGCGACUAACACUCAACAAUUUCAGCAGGCGACUACAGCAAGCAUUUAGAAUUUAGAGAACCAAAUGAGUCAAUUGGCGACUACAGUGAGCCGUCUGGAGUCUCAAGUAUUAGGGAGAUUGCCUUCACAAUCUGAGGUGAAUCCAAAGCAAAACGUUAGUGCUGUCAUCCUUAGAAGUGGGAAGGAGUUGCAAGAGCCUAGUAAGAAAGUGACAAAGCAUGUAGAAGAUGAGCUUGAGAAGAAUGAAUUGAUGCCUAAAUCUCAAGAUGCGCAACCCACCAGAGCGAAACCCCUACCUAUUGCGAUACCUCCUCCUUUUCCAAGCCGGUUUGUAAAAUCCAAGAAGGAGGAACAAGAUAAAGACAUCCUUGAGACAUUUCGCAAGGUUGAGGUAAAUAUUCCUUUAUUAGAUGCUAUAAAACAAAUACCUCGAUAUGCUAAAAUUCUUAAGGAACUGUGCACCUCUAAGAGAAAAUUAAGAGGAGAUGAAAAAGUUCACAUGGGGGAGAAUGUUUCAGCAGUUCUCCAAAAGAAACUACCUCUUAAGUGCAAGGAUCCAGGUAUGUUUACUAUCCCUUGUAAAAUUGGUAGUGUUAGAAUUGAAAAGGCUUUGUUAGAUCUAGGAGCUUCUAUUAAUGUCAUGCCUCGUUCCAUUUAUUCAUCUUUGAAUGUUGGGCCAUUAAAAGAAACUGGCGUGAUAAUUCAACUAGCUGAUAGGUCUAAUGCAUAUCCUGAUGGGGUAUUAGAAGAUGUCUUAAUAUAAGUUAAUGAGUUGGUUUUUCCUGCUGAUUUUUAUGUACUUGAUAUGGAAGAGGAUAACUCCUCUAAUUUUGUCCCAAUUUUGCUAGGAAGACCUUUUCUUAAAACUGCUAGGACUAAAAUGGAUGUACAUAAAGGGACUCUCACUAUGGAGUUUGAUGGAGAGGUUAUAGAAUUCAAUAUGAAUGAUGCCAUGAAAUAUCCUAGUGAGGAACAUUGGGUAUUUUCUAUGGAUGUUAUUAACCUUAUAGUGCAGGAAGUUUUUUAUAAGGAAAAAAACGAAGACAUUUCAUGAUAGAAUGAUUUUGAGAAAGGAGUUCUCUAUUGGUCAAAAAGUUAUUCUUUUUCAUUCUAACCUUAAACUUUUUCCGGGUAAAUUACGUUCUUGCUGGGUUGGAUCUUUUAUUGUUACUAAUGUUUUUCCUCAUGGUGCAGUUGAGAUUCAGAGUCCGACCUCUGACAAAGUUUUUAAGGUUAACGGUCAUCGCUUAAAACUUUUUUAUGAAGGUUUUUCGGUGAAUAUUGUGGAGGAUGUGGCUCUCGAGAGUCCCAAUUAUGGAGAUUGAUGCAUAAAUGUGUCUAGCCAAAGACAUAAAACAAAUGCGCUUUUUGGGAGGCAACCCAAAUGAUUUAUUUAUUUUGGUUUUUGUUAUAUCUUCUUUUAAUUUUGAUUUGGAUUUUUUUUUAAAAAUAAUGUGUUUGCUUAUUUUGGCCAGAAGAAAAUUUUCGAUAAGGCGUGCCCACGUCUUAACUAAUAAGUACUUCUGUGAUUUUUAAAGUAAAAUGGUUUUAAGGCGUGCCCACGUGCUUAUUAGAAAAGUACUUCUGAAAUUUUUAGUGUCUCAAAGUGAUUCAUCACUAAAAAAAAAAAUUAUUUAUUUAUUUAUUUAUUUUUCCUUCUUUUCUUUCUUAUAUAUAUAUAUAUAUUAUUUAAAAAAAAUGAAAAAAAAAACAAAAAUCAAAAAUCACAGUUCACUGUUCACAAAUCCCUAAUUCAAAAAAAAAAUCACUCUUGAUUAUCGUUUUCACCCGCAGCAACCAGCAGCCGCAGCCACGCAGCAGUAGCAACCGUGCGCAAUCAGCAGCAACCGUGCGCGCAACACAGCCUACGCUGCGCGCAGAUCCAGCAGCCCGCGCACGCCGCACAAUCUGUCCCACCCGCAACGCAGCGCGAACCAGCCAGUGCGCACAACGCAGACAACAUCCCGCAUGCAACCAGCAGUGCGCAACCAGCCCCAACCCGCGCAGCAAGCUCCAGCCGAGCAGCAACGCAGCGCAAAUCCAGCCUACGCCCUGUAUUCCAGCUGGGUAAAUCGAAAUCCGUGAGUGCAAUUAUUGUAACAAUGCCGAAGAGGAAAGCAUCUACUUCCAAGUCAUCUAAAAAGACACCCGUCGCAAAGAAAUCUAAGAUUUCCGCUCCCACUACGGUUCCAUGGAACACAAUUUCAGAUUCACGCGAAGCUGUGAGACAAAGAUCGAAACAUGGAAAAGGCAUGAGUGUUUUGCUACUUGCGGAAUCCAAUCUCGGAGGGUGCCUCGCAUUCGCGACUCAACAAGAGAAAGAAAGGUACAAAGAUAUUUCCACGUGCAAAAUACUUCCAGCUAAGUAUAUUCAUUACCCGACUCUUGAAAAAUUGAAUGUUAAGGAUAAUUUUGAUUCUUUGAUAGAUAAUAUUGGGUUGCGUAAGUUUAUUGAUGUUGAUUGUUUGGGUUAUGUUGAGUUGAUUAGGGAGUUUUAUGCUACUUUUCAAUUUAAUAUGCCGAAUGAUUUUACUUUGCAUACCCCGGAUGUCAUAAAGUUUAGGUUAAUGGGACGGAAUUUUUCACACUCUAUCACAGAUUUUAACCUAGCUUUAGGAUUCAUUGAUGAUGAUUAUUCUUCUAGUGAUGCAUAUUUAAGAACAACUUGUGACUUUAGCGAAAAUUUUGAGCCUUAUGGUCUUUGGCGUAAUUUAUCUGUUGAUCACAAUGCCUAUGACCCGAGUAAAUCAAAGAGUUCUUUCUUACGUGAUCCUGUUUUGAAAUGUGUGAAUCGAUUCUUAGCAUAUAAUUUUUUAGGCAAGAAAGAUCACUCAGGAGUUUUCUCUAAAACUGAAUUUUAUUUUAUCUGGUGCAUGUUAAAUGAUGUGAGGCCUAAUUUAGGUUUUUGGUUAGCGGAUCAAUUUCAAAGUGUGCUUAAACGGUAUAUGACUUUAUUUCUUGGUCCAUACAUUAGCUAUAAACCUAUGUGUGCUUGAUCCUGACAAUAAUGAUUUGCAUCCUGCUUGCAAAAAGAAAUUUUUGGAUAUGUCUGUGUUUGAAAGAACAGGUGUGGUCGAAUUCAAGGAGGGGAGAUUUCAGUUUACUGAACCAGGACCCACUCAACCUCCGAAGAAGCUUUAUGUUAGAAGUGGUGCUACCUCUGAUGACGAGUUUGACGACGACACUGCUGCCCCGCCAACUAUUCCUUCUACAUCUGCACUACCUUUGAGCAUUCAGUUAGAGAAAAUGGAGCACAAGCUGAACAAGAUGGAGCAGAAUUUGGCCGUAUACUUAGAGAGUGUGGGAUUUACCCCACCAUUUCCGCCAAGCCCAUAGACGUUAUGUGGAUCAAAGCUCACAAUUCAGGGAAGUUUUUUUUGCCUUUAAUCUUUUAUCCUUACUCUUUAAUUUUUAUGUGAGCUUUGAUUAUCUUACAUUGGGGACAAUGUAAGUUCUUGGUGUGGGGGAGGGAUUUUUGCAUUAUUGAUGUCUGGAAUUAUUAUUUUCACUCUACUCAUCUAUUUUCACUCUACUCGUCCUUAAAUGAUUUUGGAGUUAGUAUGCUUCAUAUAUUAUUAAUUUCCUUUUCCUUUCUCUCUUACUACUCUUUUCCCAUCUAUCUCAAAUUAUUUACAUCUAUUUUUUUUCUAUCAUACUCUUUCAUCACUCACAUUUUAUCUUUCAUUUUUUUUACUACAUACAUCUUUCUCGCUUAUUAUCUUUUUUAUCUUUCCUUUUAUAUCUCACUCAUACCUUCUUCUCAUUCUACACCACUAUUGAUGAUUGAUUCAUUUGAAGAGUGUACAUGAUUUGAUGGUAAAUUUACCAACUUUGUGAGGAUUUGAGCCUAUGAGCAACCACUUUGCUCUAAUUAUUUUUGUUAUGUGAAUAUCAAUCCUAGUUUGUUUAUUCUAGAACUUGCUUUGUUAUGCAUGUUGAACCCACAUUACGGGAUUUUAUGCAUUAAAAUGAUAAGGGCAAACCAUUUACCAUUUUUCUAUUCUCGCAUUUUUCUUUUUCUCUACCCGAAGACCUUUAUUUGCUACCUUUGUUUGAGCCUUAACCAUUACCCAUCUAAUUCUCUCCGUCUAUUUAACCAUUUUUCUUAUUUUUUAGCCUCAAUUUAAGGAGAUUUUUGGACUCAUUGUGUGAAUAUAUUUUGUUGCUUUUUAUACCUUGUAUUAAAGUUUCUCAAUUAGAUCAACAAGCAUUAUGCUUGAAUUAAAUUGUGCAAGGUUCGUUUCUUUUGUUUGAUUCGAAAAAAAAACAAAAAAAAAAGAAAAAGAAAAAUCGAAAAAAAAAAGUUUACAUUCUUGGUGACUUGAGUAGAAAUAAGCAUUUUGAUAUCAUAAGUUCAUUCAAUGAGUUCAUUCUUCUCAUUUUGAUCUCUUUUUCUUUCAUAGACCUUUCUUUUUCAUUUAACCUAUUUAACCCCAUUACAACCCUUUUAAGACCCUUAGAUUUUUACAUUUUAUUCAUAUUUUAUGGAUUGAGAUGUGAUAUAUGAGCAAGCUUAUGGUAAUAGCAUUCUUUGAUUUGAUUUGAGUGAAUAAAUGACACCCUAAACACUUUGAGUGCAUGGAGUGAAGUCAAUGAGAGGGCUAUUAAAUCUUGUUGCACUUGAAUUUUGAAUGGAUCUUCUUGGUGGUUGAAUGUUCUUAUUCUAUCUUAUGAGAUUCUAUGCUUUAAAAUCAUUGUCUCUCGAAUAUUGAUCGACUUAAUUUCUUGAGGUAUACUUGCUUAAAAUUGUUUUUGGAUGGGUUGAGAUGAGAAUUGAGUGGAGAUUUGAGAUUAGUCUUGAGUUAUAUGCUUGAGGACAAGCAUCAUCUUGGUGUGGGGGAAUUUGUUAGAGUGCAAUUUAUGCACUGGUUUUGCAUUGUUUACUUCCCUUAAUAUCGAUGUUUUGCACUUAAUAAUAAUGAUUUACUUGUGUUUUACUUUUGUAGGUGCAAUUUUAUUGAUUUGUGAUAAAAUUGAGCUAUAAGAUGAUGUUUAAAGAUGAUUGUUCUCUUCGAGAAAUUAUGAGCGUCAGAAGAACUUUGUUGAUAAGGCGUGGGCGCGUGCUGUCAACUGCGGACCUGCAGUUUUUAGUUUAACGUGUUUUGUAGUUUUGGUUAUUUUUGUAAUUACGAAUUUAAUAUUUCAGAUAUUAGUAUUUUAUUUUAAAUAGAACUCUAGAGGAGAAGAGAGAGAGAGUAUUUAAGGGAGGAAUCUAUUGUGAAAAAAAGGGGAUUGGAGAAAAAGAAAGAAACCCUAGAUCUAAUUUUUCUCUUCUCUCUAUGAAGAACUAAACUUAUUUUUCUGGUUGAAGGUUAAUGAAGCUUUGAUUCAUCACUACUGUGAGAUCUUUCUUAUGCUUUAAUUGUUUUAUUACUCUUUGGGUAUUUGUUUAUUAUCUGAAUUAAUUUCAUGAUUAUGUUUGUUAAUUAGGUAAUUGGCCACUAUUUAAUUAUCAACUUAAUCUAUUGUCAAUUAAAUGAUUCAUCGUAUGAAGAUUUUAAUGUUUGUGACAAAUAACAUAGCAGUGAGUUGUGUUAUGAGAAUAAACAAUCUAAUUUAAAUGAAUCAUCAUAUGUGUUGAUUAGGAUUUGGGUCUCUCUGAUUUUUCAGGCUGUCAAUUGAUUAAAUCCUAUGAUCGUAUCUAGGGUUGUCUAUUGAUUAGGGAAAUAUCCAACGGUCGUACCUUGGUUAUCGACUAGUUAAGGAGAGAUUGGCUAUUAGAGGGUCUCAAUAGCUAUAACCGGUCUAUUCAUAAGUAAUAAUAAUCUAUAUUUGAAUCAAUGAUCAGUAGUCGAAUCAAGCUGAGUUAAUUCCUUCAACCAGAGUUUUCUUCAAUUUGAAUUACAACUUUAAUUUACAUUCUUAUUAUUUUAAUUUGAUUCUUAUUAAUUUAUUUAGAGUAUGAAUUUAUUUUUGUUGGCUUCGACAACCAUCAAAUUUACAAGGCCUUUAACGGGUACUUUGCAAUAUCUUUAGGUUAUCAUUCGUCAUUCGUCAUUUUACGCUGAAAUAUUUGGUAUAGUCGUGGCUAUUAAGGAAGCAGUUAAAAGAGGGUGUGGUAAUAUGUUUGGUUAGAAAGAUUCUUUAGUGCUGCUCUAUCUUGUCUUCACACUCAUAGUUUUGGCCUUACAUGGUGCAUUUGUAAUAAAUGUAUUAAUAGUUGUAGUUUGGUUAAAAAUAUAAUUUUUAGGCGCUCUCAUAUCUCCUGAGAAGGAAAAGUUAUUUGAGAAUGCUUGGGCUACUACAAGAAUUGUUUUAUAAUUUAGCUUCUUUUAUAUAUGAUGCUUUCGUAACUCUUGUCUUUUUAGUUUAAUAUAUUUUCAGAUUUUCAUAAAAAAAGAACAAAAAAACAUAUUUUUCAUUUUGAUCAAGCGUCGCUACAGCAGUGCUAAAGCGUAAAAAUAUAUUAUUCAAUUAAUUAACAACUAUCUAUAUUGUCAUGUUUUAAUUUUUAAAAUUAAAAAAAUUGUCGGUUAGUGGAUACUGGAUACCAUACGUUUCUCUCUUUUCCAAACCCUCACGGGAGAUUUUAUGAGUGAGUUUGUGAGCAAAAAUAUCAUUCUUAAGGAAUAAGGAUGGUGUUGAAAGGUUCUAUUUUGAGAAUUUCCUGCUCCUGGAUUUUUCAGAACCUUAAAUCUAGACGGAUUCGGUAAAUCCUACCCAGAUGGGGUUAGUCCCAUUUCACCAAAACGGAAUUUUCGAAUCCGUUUAGAUUUAGGAUAAUGCUUAAGCGUUCAUUAUAUAUAAAACGAUUAAACGAAUCACGGACAUUUUCAACCAUUCACACAACCACCACAGAGAUCACAACUAUUCAGAGUUCUCCCGAAAGUGCAAAAACAAGAUGCCAUCAGAAACCGAAACCACGACCACCUACGCGAUCGACUUGCGAUUUGAUGAAGCCUUGAACACCAGGAUCUCGAACAUACUUAGGAGUAAGGACAUCUUAGGACCUGUGGAACCCAGGUUGACUAUCGGGGUCGCACAUGCCGAGGCACAAACAUGUUCAUCAGCACUCUCCAUACUGGAGAAUGUCCUCCGUCGAUACAUCACAAUCCAGGAGCGGUUUCCAGUUGGACUGAAUGGAGUGGAAUUAAAUCACCCGGUAACAGAACCACGAAACUUUCUGAAACUAGGUCCGGUCUCCUCGUUGAUGCACAUUUUGCGAUGCCAUGGCAACUUCCAUGAUGCUCUCAGAAUGGAAGAUCCCGAUCAUCAGCUUCAAAUUUCCCAGGAUUGCAUGCCCCCAGAUCGUUGGGAGCAAUUUGCCAAAAUCACCCUUUUUAAUUCCAGAGAUCAACUUUUUAAAGCCAUUCGAGAUCUGUGCCCGGUUUUCGAUAGCGAGCCUCCUCUCAAUGGCUUCGCCCAUCAAGUCGCUUUGGUGGAAUUGUCACCUAAUCCCAGGGACUUAUCAGUCCUUCCUCUCCGGGAACGGGCUGCUUCUGAUCGUUUGGUGGACGCACAAGAAUAACCCACCGAGUCUCAAGAUCGAGAUUACAUUUAGAUAAUAGAAAUAUUGUCUUUGUUUUCUCUGUUUUUUGUUUCUGGAAUUGAUCUAAUUUUUACUUUUAUUUUCAUUUUUUUACAGUUCUUGAACUUACCGAAAAUUACGUGGUUAAAUGUGCUUAUCCUUCAGCCUCGUAAAUAUUUAAAAAUAAAAGGUGUUAAUUGCACAUAUCAAGUUAUUUACCAUAUUGGUUAUUUGCGAGGUAGUAUUUGAAAGCUUAAAACACAAGUGAGACAAAUCGUAUAGACUCAAACCGAUUGGUCCCGCUGUUCUCUCAUGACCUUCAAUGCAGUUCCGUGCUCUUGAUCCUCAUUAAUGUUUAUAAGCCUCUGUAUGCCGUUUGCAUUUACCGAGACUUGAAUUCGAGAGCUAUUAUUCAUGAUUAAUAAUACUAGUGAGCCCUUGUUGAUGCUGAAAUUUGAUCAGAACGGAUGAUGACGACCAGAUUGUCUUGUCAACGGUCAAACCUUCCUUUUACUUGAAAAUGCACCCCUCUAGAUUUUACCAGUAUUGGGCUGCCUCGAUGCUUCCAAUAGCCUGAAACAAUAAGAAGAUGGUCAGGGGCGCCGGAUUUCCCGGCGAUAACCCUCCGACGAUCAAGUCAGUGAUCUUAGUUGAUUUUUUUAUAUCGAGAAGUUCAUUCUAGCUAAAAAAAAUCCAACCCCUUUUUCCAACUCUUUUACCUGUUUUUAUGGACGAAUCCAGGGGUCAAUCAUUAUGGUCGUUAUCUAAUUAAAUUCAUUGAUUGCAUCAUUUAAGUUUAAGUGAGCAUAUUAAUUUGCCCGUUUAUGUAAUUAUUAGUUAAUCGUUGUAACACCUAGUUAAGAUUUAAGGCGUCUGGCCGUCACAGAUCAAUAAAGGGACUCCUGACAUCCGCCUAUAAACUCACGCGACCAGCUCUUGAUCUGCUCGAGCUGUGCUAGUUUGCUCGAGAUGAGCUGGUCGCGCUUGAUACUUGCGACCAGAUGACAGAACUUCCACUCGUCUUGACCAAAUCUUGAUCUCCCAAACAGCCUUGUUUAUAGUUUCUAUAUUAUCCUAUAUUUACAAUGAAAGGGGUAUUCUUAUUUAUUUGUUUCAGCAGCCGUCAAUUUCACUUAACCUAUUUAUUUUCUGAAUUAUUCUAAAUUUUAUAAAUUGAUACAAAGUUUCAACCAAACGGGUCAAAUAAAAAUUUUCGAUUUUUUAACCACCUUUUUCAACAUGGGUCGAAUAUUCCGUAUGCAAUUGAAAUAAUUGAAAAUUUGGUCGACAAGUUAAAUUGAAGAGGUUAUCCGAGCUAACCCUUUAAAACUCUACAGAACUUUACUCUUAAAUAUAUGGUUAUUCCCUUAAUUAAAAUUAUAUGAUAAGGGUAAAAAGUUACCUUAAAUUUUUAAUUAAACCUACUAUAAUCACCAUUACAUGAUUUAAAGAAAGGAUAUGAUUUAAAGAAACGUUCUAAAUAAAUUUUAGAUUAAUUGACUUCAUAUUUGUCCUUUUAUAUAAUUUACUCAAAUAAUAAAAUUAUGAUUCAAAAAAUGGGGUUUUAAGGAUAUCAUACGGGGUGGGAAAAGUGUUACACUAAAUAUCACAACUCUCUAUUAUUAGUUGUGACAUGUAAUAAUUAACUUCAUCUGUAUAUCUUAGCAUCAUUCUCUCCUCAAUUAAAUAAAUCUAAUUUUCAAAAUUAUCCCUAAUUUUCAGUAAGGAUCAUUAAUAUUUUUAUUUUUAUUUUCUGCCCUCUCAUCAACUCUCUCGCUCAAGCAUCACCAUCAUUUCCACCACUUAUUUUCAUCAUCAUCAAUCCAUCACCACUUGUAGAAUAUAAUGAGUUUUUGUUGUUGGGCUUUAUUUAAUUUUAUAAAUAAGUGAUGAAUUUUAUUAUUAUUGAUUGGAUGAAUUUGAAGUGUGAUGAAUAGAUUAAAAAAAGAAAACCACCUUAUUACUUGUAUCUAUUAUUUCUCACCUCUUGAAACUCAUCAUCAUCAUAAAAGCUGAAAAAUAAAAGUAUGAAAAUUCAUUUUUGACUUAAUUUUUUUCUUGUUUUUCUUGCUUUUAAUUUUCUUUUCUUUUUUGUGCUUCCUCCAUUCUUGAAUUUGACUUGCAAAAUUAUUGAUCAUGAUAUCAUAAAUAUUGAGUUUGGUUCAUUAAAGGAGCAAAGUGGGUUACUCCAAAAGUUAAAAAGGGAAAAAACAAUAACAGUGCAAACGAGAGUAAAAAUAAUAAUAAUAAGGAUUACUCUUUUAAAAAUACAUUGAAUUAAUUAAGAAGUGGCGGUUGCUAUUUAGGGCCCAUUAACAAGAUUAUCCAUUUAACCAAUUAACCCAACCGCAGAUGCUCGAUAGCCUAAUAAAACUAUUGUCAGAAUAAUAAUAAUUUUUUAUUAAAAAAAGGGACUUCUGGAAUUAGGGAUUUUUGGAAUUCGCGCAUUGCAACAAAGAAACCCCAACUAGUUACCUUUCUCAAUUCUAGCUGUAGCCUUUCUGCCAGAAUCUCGUCGCUUGGCUUACCGGAGCCUCGCCGAAACAUUUAAGAGAAUCGCACGCUUGCACACUGCUGAGUCAGGUCUCCACCGGCUGUUUUUCACUAUUAUUUAGUGUUUUAUAACAUUUUAUUAAUGUUAAUUGACUGUUAAUACUUUAUUUAAUAGUAAUUAGCUAUUGACUAAGACUGUUGGCUGUUGAAAGUGUUUGUGUUAUUAAAAUUAAAAUGAGAUGUUUUGGGAAUAAAAUAGGGUAACCAUGAUCUCCUCGAAUAAAAAGUGAGGAAAUGGUUGAUAGGAUAAAAGAAGGUAAUUCUGGUGAUCUUGAGUAGACCACCUCGACUAGGUGUUAAUCUUGAGACCAUGAUCAGACCAUCUCGACUAGGUGGUAACUUCAAUAAGCAUGAGCAGACCACCUCGAUCAGGUGGUAAUCUUGAGACCAUGAGUAGACCACCUCGACUAGGAGGUAAUUUUGGUAACCAUGAGCUGACCACCUCGACUAGGUGGUAAUUCUUAGGACCUUAAGCAAGUUAUCUUGACCAAGUGGAAAUUCUUGUGACCUCAAGCAAACGAGUUUGAGGAGGCAUUGGACCGAGUCACCAAGAAGAAGGACUCAUUAAAAUAACCGCCACAAAUCACCUUUAAAAAAUAGGGCAUGAAUUUAAUUCAUUAAUUGCCACAAUCUAAGGUCGUGGGUGUGGGGUGUUUAUAAAAACCCAAAGAAAAUCAUACCAGAGAGAGGUUGAACUUUAAAACCCAAAGAAAAUCAUACCAGAGAGAUGUUGAACUUUCUUUUUUAAUUUUUAUUUUAUUCUUUUGAUUACAUUUUACUUAAGAUUAUUUAUUUAUAAAAACUAGAAAUGACAUAUUUUGUUUUUCUUGUAAACCCGAUAACUGACUUGAUGCUGGAAAAUUUUUUGGCACCUCUAAUUAUUCUCUGUAAUUUCAUAUACUUGUUGAUCAUCAGUUUCAAGAUUAUCUGCUUGUAAAUAUUCUGCUCAUAGUCAAAGAAUAUUCUUGGAGAUCAACAAGCAUCUUCCCACCAAACAAAUUUAAUGCUGAUGCAGUGAUUUGAGUCACUAACCAACUUGUUCAGAUUUGGGCAUCAACAUGAGUAAUUUUUGUUUUAAAAUAUUAUUUUAACAAAAUUAGUAUUGAUAAUGAUGUGGCUAUUGAGAGCUGACUUUUGUUUCUUAUUUUUAUUGUGUAUACUAGCAGUGUUUUAGCUGAAAGGAGGGGAAGUCAUACUUUUGAAGGCUGUGUUGAAGUAACCUAAACCUGAUUGAGGUUGGGAAUGAUAGAGGAUUAAACACUUGAAAUGGAAGAAUCAAAGACGACAGGGAAAAGGAAAACACCUGAAGAAGAUUCACAUGUCAGGGGAACCCCUAAGGAAGAAUCGACCAAGAACCAACGAAAUCCGACACGCUCAAGUGUACAUGAGGUUGCAGUACCCAGCGGCUAUGCAUUGACUAAAGAUGAAAAGACUCAUGGGACACUUGCUAAUCCGGUUUAUAAUGGUGAGAUGGCAAAAACCUACAGUUUUGAGCUCGACCCAUUUCAGCGAGUGUCGGUUGCAUGCUUGGAGAGAAAUGAAUCGGUUCUUGUCUGAACUCAUACAUUGGCAGGUAAAACUGCCGUUGCCGAGAAUGCGAUAGCAAUGGCUUUUAGAGAUAAGCAGAGGGUUAUAUACACUUCACCUUUGAAUGCUUUGAGUAACCAGAAGUACAGGGAGUUACAUAAAGAGUUUAAAGAUGUUGGAUUGAUGACUGGUGAUGUUACUCUCUCACCCAAUGCUAGUUGUUUGGUGAUGACAACAGAAAUUCUACGAGGAAGCUUUAUUGAGGGUCGGAGGUCUUGAAGGAAGUUGCUUGGGGUAUUUUUGAUGAAAUUCAUUACAUGAAAGAUAGAGAAAGAGGGGUUGUUUGGGAGGAGAGUAUAAUACUUUUACCGCCCGCUAUUAAGAUGGUUUUUCUUUCUGCGACAAUGUCCAAUGCAAUCCAGUUUGCUGAGUGGAUUUUUCAUUUCCACAAACAGCCUUGUCAUGUGGUGUAGACAGAUUUUCGACCAACACUUUUACAGCGCUAUGCUUUCCCAGUGGGUGGGAGUGGGUUGUAUCUUGUUGUUGAUAAGAAAGAGCUGUUUAGAGAGGAUAAUUUUGUGAAGCUGCAAGAUAAUUUCUCAUAGCAGAAAAUGGGUGGCAGGAGAGAAAAUGGAAAAGCAAGUGGGAGAAUGGCCAAAAGUGGGAGUGGUUCUAGGGGUUCAGACAUAUUCAAAAUUGUGAAGGUGCAGCCACUAUUUCCAACUAUUAUUCUUCAUUCAGUGUUGUUAGAUGCCCUGAAUUGAUGUUCUUUUAAAGUAUGUGACCAUGGCUUGUUACCAGCUUUCUUUCGUUCUUGGAGCAAUUCUAUUGGUAGCAAUGUAAGUGAUAGUUAACUAUUUCUUACAGCCAUUUUAUAUCCACUCUUAUGCCUUAUGAUAUAAUCUGUCUCAAAGAAAUAUGUCUUACUGGCAUGACUUGGGGGUUUGACUAUGGGAAUCAGAAUACUCUCACUAAAAACUUCUGAUUUUCAAUUCAACAGUUCUUUAUUUUAAUUCUUUGGAAUAUCACUCUUCUCUUGAAGUGGAAAGUUAUGCCAUAAAAAAAAAUAUUAUGGGCAAAGUAGAAGGGAGAAUUUUUUUUUUAAAAAUAAAAUCUGUGAUUUAAUCUUUAUCUUGUAGCUUGGUGGAUUCUUGUGUGUUUCCCUAGGAAUCGAGACACAAUAUAGAGUAUAAUUUGUUCUACUUUUUACUUAAAUUUUUUUUAAAAUUCAAAUUAUUAGUCAUUAAUCUUAUACAAUUUAAUAAUAAAUAUUAAAAUUCAAAUUAUUAGUCAAUGAUUUAAUGAUGUUAACUUAAAAUAGCUUAAUUGCUUAAAAUCAUGUUCAUCAAUUCAAGUACCAUUUACUAGCUUACUUACGUAAUCGCUUUUUUCCCUUAUUUUUUUCUCAUUUUGGAUUCAAUCAUUUCAGAAUCAACAGUAUUAAAGGAUUAAUUUGCAAUAUUUCAUAAAUGAACUAGAGGUGUUGAGUUGUCUUGAAAAGAAAAUAAAACGGUGUCUCAUAGAUAGAUUAUUAUUUGCUCAUCAAAUAUUAACAGAGAUAUCUGAAAAUUGUGUCUAAUGUUUCGUCAUCCUCUUUGAACUUCAAUGAGAUCAAAAUUCAACUAGUCGUUUAUUGUAAUAAACUUCCUGUCGUUACUCUUGAUGUGUAUUUGCUAAAAUGUAAUAUUGUGUUUGGUUUAAAGAAUUUUGCUUAUUAUAUAUAUAUAUAUAUAUAUAUAUAUAUAGAGUCAUGAUUUGAUUCAAGAUCUUGGACUUUUUUUAAAGUCUAGGAAAGCUAUUGAGUAAUAGCAUUAUGUCAUUCUACUAUUAAACCAAACAACUUAAUAGUUUUUUCGGACUUUAAUAAAUUUAGGAUUCUGAACUGAAACAUUUAUAUAUAUAGCUACGUUGAUUUCUUGAUAGUCUGUAUUUGGUUUCUAUGGAGGAAUGUGCAAACUAAUGCCCAAAUUUAGAAUGACAAAAGAAGCUAAGUAUCGUUUUAUAACUUAGCUUAUUUUAUAUAUGAUGCUUUCGUAACUCUAGUCUUUUUAGUUUAAUAUAUUUUCAGAUUUUCAUUAAAAAAAGAAAAAAAAAUUCAUUUUGAUCAAGCGUUGCUGCUUGCUACAGCAGUGCUAAAGCGUAAAAAUAUAUUAUUCAAUUAAUUAACAAAUAUCUAUAUUGUCAUGUUUUAAUUUUUAAAAUUAAAAAAAUUGUGUCGGUGAGUGGAUACUGGAUACCAUACGUUUCUCUCUUUUCCAAACCCGCACGGGAGUUUAUGAGUGAGUUUGUGAGCAAAAAUAUCAUUCUUAAGGAGCAAGGAUGGGGUUGAAAGGUUUUAUUUUGAUAAUUUCCUGUUCUGGGUUUUUCAGAACCCUAAAUCUAGACGGAUUCGGUAAAUCCUACCCAUAUGGGGUUAGUCCCAUUUACCCAAAACGGAAUUUUGGAAUCCGUUUAGAUUUAGGAUAAAGCUUAAGCGUUUAUUAUAUAUAAAACGAUCAAACGAAUCACGGACAUUUUCAACCCUUCACACAGCCACCACAGAGAUCACAACUAUUCAGAGUUCUCCCGAAAGUACAAAAACAAGAUGCCAUCAGAAACCGAAACCACGGCCACCUACGCAAUCGAACUGCGAUUUGAUGAAGCCUUGAACACCAGGAUCUUGAACAUACUUAGGAGUAGGGACAUCUUAGGACCUGUGGAACCCAGGUUGACUAUCGGGGUCGCACAUGCCGAGGCACAAACAUGUUCAUCAGCACUCUCCAUACUGGAGAAUGUCCUCCGUCGAUACAUC
This 16806-nucleotide long non-coding RNA is filed under the name Citrus x clementina. RNAcentral describes it as "Citrus clementina (C. clementina) long non-coding RNA (CCLE_LNC004572)". The record is from RNAcentral. Lineage: Eukaryota; Viridiplantae; Streptophyta; Magnoliopsida; Sapindales; Rutaceae.